AGAGUUUGAUCAUGGCUCAGGAUGAACGCUAGCUACAGGCUUAACACAUGCAAGUCGAGGGGAAACGACAUCGAAAGCUUGCUUUUGAUGGGCGUCGACCGGCGCACGGGUGAGUAACGCGUAUCCAACCUGCCCAUCACUUGGGGAUAACCUUGCGAAAAUAAGACUAAUACCCAAUGAUAUCUCUAGAAGACAUCUGAAAGAGAUUAAAGAUUUAUCGGUGAUGGAUGGGGAUGCGUCUGAUUAGCUUGUUGGCGGGGUAACGGCCACCAAGGCUACGAUCAGUAGGGGUUCUGAGAGGAACGGUCCCCACAUUGGAACUGAGACACGGUCCAAACUCCGUACGGAGGCA
This 352-nucleotide ribosomal RNA is filed under the name uncultured bacterium. Its description in RNAcentral is "bacterial SSU rRNA". It matches the Rfam family "Bacterial small subunit ribosomal RNA", at positions 8 to 350 of the family's 1533-position model. The record is from RNAcentral.